RNAcentral lists this ribosomal RNA (467 nucleotides) under uncultured bacterium. RNAcentral describes it as "partial 16S ribosomal RNA". It matches the Rfam family "Bacterial small subunit ribosomal RNA", at positions 28 to 506 of the family's 1533-position model. The record is from RNAcentral.
GACGAACGCUGGCGGCGUGCUUAACACAUGCAAGUCGAACGGAAAGGCCCUGCUUUUGUGGGGUGCUCGAGUGGCGAACGGGUGAGUAACACGUGAGUAACCUGCCCUUGACUUUGGGAUAACUUCAGGAAACUGGGGCUAAUACCGGAUAGGAGCUCCUGCUGCAUGGUGGGGGUUGGAAAGUUUCGGCGGUUGGGGAUGGACUCGCGGCUUAUCAGCUUGUUGGUGGGGUAGUGGCUUACCAAGGCUUUGACGGGUAGCCGGCCUGAGAGGGUGACCGGCCACAUGGGACCGCGGACACGGCCCGGACUCCUACGGGGGGCAGCGGUGGGGAAUAUUGCACAAGGGGCGGAGGCCGGAUGCAGCAACGCCGGUUGGGGGAGGACGGCCUUCGGGUUGUAAACCGCUUUCGCCUGUGACGAAGCGGGAGGGACGUAAAUGGGUAAAAAGGCACCGGCAAACUACUG